UAAAUUAAGCCGACCACUCGUUCUCACCC
RNAcentral lists this non-coding RNA (29 nucleotides) under Mus musculus (house mouse). Lineage: Eukaryota; Metazoa; Chordata; Mammalia; Rodentia; Muridae. The record is from RNAcentral.